GAGGAGGGAAAAGGAAUCGACGCUGUCACCGCUGGGGACCUAGGGUGGCCUCUCACCUUGGAGAAUAACAAUCUCUGAUGUCUGCUAAUGACAGAAAUACUUCCAGAGCUCUUUGAUUCAUCCUGACAAUGACCAGAGAAGAGACACUGACAAGACUUGAAGCAAGAAACAGAAAGUUAACAUCUCAUCUGGAGGAAGACCCUGGAAGGAGCCAGCCCCUUCCCCCAGGCUGACCUGGUUUAAGCCUUUCUUCUGCCAAGGUCACCAGCAGCCCAGAUGAGUGACAGAUGUAAUCACUGGUUUCAUGGCCUGAUCAGGGACCUCCAAGAUGGAGUCUCGAUCUGUCGCCCAGGCUGGAGUGCAAAGGUACGAUCUCGGCUCACUGCAACCUCCGCCUCCCGGGUUCAAGCGAUUAUAGGCGUGAGCCACCGCAUCCAGCCAAAUAAAUUUGGGAAAGCACGAAUGCAGUCCCCCACUAUUACAAAUUAUGCAGUCGAGUUUCCCACAUUUGGGGAAAUCGCAGGGGUCAGCACAUCCGGAGUGCAAUGGAUAAGCCUCACCCUGGGAAAACAAACCACCUUCGUGAUCAUGGUUCUCCCCUGCCAGGGAAAGCUCGAAGCUCCUCACAGCGAUCUGGCCGAAAUUGGGGGCUCCUGACUCAGCUCCUUCCCACCUAGAAAAUGUUUCAUGCAGCUGGAUGGCUCCAACACCCACAGAGCAGGAUUCAAAUAACCUGAAGACCUUGGCACAGCAGGCUUGGGGCAGCGGGGACUGGGGCCCCACUCAGACCUCUGUGGGGCAAAUGUUUUGUUUCUCAGAACAGCCCAAGUGAAAUCAAUCCUAGACACUCGCCAUUUGGUCCCACCAAGACCAUUUAAUUUCUCUGUAAAAAGUAAGCUGACACAGAAGAACCAACUGUGAAAAUGGUGAAGCGGGAGUCUGAAUCGAUUUAGCUGUUCUCAGGGGGCACAGGGUGUUGAGGGUGGUUUUCAUCUGCCACCUGCCUCCUUGAGACCCAGCUGACCUGAGUGUGUAUGAAAUAAGACCUUCUCCUUGUGUCCACCAGGCUCAGGGGCACCCCUAGGUACCCUGCUCUUCGUCACAGCGGCAGCCCUCUCGGUUCCACAUCUGGUUCUCCUGCCGAAGCCUCUGGUUCUCGGUCCGGAGCCUCUCAACCUCAGCGGCCAGCUCCUCCACCUGGCGGCAGGACUGCUGGCCCGUGCAUGCCUGCAGCUGCUGCAGCCUCCUGGUCUCCUCCUCGGCCUGCGACAGCCGCUUCUCCAGCUCCAGGUAGUCUCGCACCAGCUCCUGCUUGCUGCGGCCAUGCAGGCUCUCAGUGCGGAAGCGCUCAUAAGCCUCAGAGAAGUCCCUCUGCUGGAACUCACCGUGCACUCGGCCCCGCCCAUCACUGUCCCCGGCCUCACUCUCCCCACUGGAACCUGGGUGGGAGACCCCAGGGGGCACAUCCAAGUUGGGCUCUUCUGGGUCUCGGUCAUUCAUCAGGAACUGGGUGGUGUUGUAGGGGGCCACGGGCUGGCCUUUGGCGAACAUCUGCUCUCGGACUCGGGACGCCCUCUGGCUCUGCCUCUCAUCCCGCUGUUGUUUCUCAGCCCAGCUCAGCUCCAGGUAGGGCCGCCAGUGCCGUCUGCGCUUUGACGGCCGCCGACGGUGUUUCUUCCGGGCCAGUACUGCCUCCGCUGAGCAGCCCCCUGAGCUCUGGGUCCAGUGACUCCUACUGUUCCAGCCCAGGCCUCCAACAGCCCCAGCAAGAUCUUCAUCCUCUGAGUGGCUCUCCAUCUGGGGUGUCAGGGGCAGGGAACCACCAGAGUCAUGAGGCUCAGAGGGUGUUUGGGGGCUCCCUGGGGUACCAGAGGUCUAAAGAGAGAGAGGAGGAAGAAGGAUGGAUCAGACAGCCUGUCCCUGGAGAUGGAACCCUUCCCUCUCUACCCAGCGUGAAGCCAACCUUCCCACACUCAGCUAACUUGGUCACUCUUACUUAGCCCCUCACCCUUUUGCAACCAUUUGUUUACAAAGUUACCUGUCUACUGUCUGUCCCCCAACCUUCCCCAAGUAAACUCACGGUGACAGCAGGAA
This is a long non-coding RNA of Callithrix jacchus (white-tufted-ear marmoset), 2094 nucleotides long. RefSeq lists it as uncharacterized. NCBI's taxonomy places the organism in Eukaryota, Metazoa, Chordata, Mammalia, Primates, Cebidae. The record is from RefSeq and is a predicted model, not a curated record.